AUGCAUCUCUGACAGACCAGGAGCAGUUAAUAUCUGUUGCUAAGAUUUCCACUAUAGAUUCAAGAUAAGGAAUGUCCUCGUGCUUUCUGUCUGUCUGGUUGUGGCAGCCAAGAUUGAAUGGGGGAAUACAGGA
RNAcentral lists this small nucleolar RNA (133 nucleotides) under Dasypus novemcinctus (nine-banded armadillo). Its description in RNAcentral is "Small nucleolar RNA SNORA31 (ENSDNOG00000043075.1)". It matches the Rfam family "Small nucleolar RNA SNORA31". From Rfam's summary of the family: ACA31 (SNORA31) belongs to the H/ACA class of snoRNAs which are thought to guide the sites of modification of uridines to pseudouridines. ACA31 is predicted to guide the pseudouridylation of U3713 in 28S rRNA and U218 in 18S rRNA. Lineage: Eukaryota; Metazoa; Chordata; Mammalia; Cingulata; Dasypodidae. The record is from RNAcentral.